GAUUGCUGCAAGACAGAGAGAAGAGGCAUGAGUGACUCUCUGCGCUGGUGCCCCAACCUUGCCUCCUUCAUGUGCCUGCUCAGGUCUACAGGGGAUCGUGCUGGGCACGGGGAGCAGCACAUCCUGCGUGGCCCGAAGCAGGCCAGCCCACGGACCACCUAGAAAAAAUAGGUACUCCUUCAAGACAGGAAAAGAACAGAGCCAAAGGAGGCAAGGCUAACUCUGGGCACAGACACAGAGCGAGCAUCCGUGCUCACCAACACUGCCAGGGGACACAACCAGACAGUCUGCAGAUGGGAAAACCAGAAGGGCUUACUGCUUGGGAAACCUACUGGGGUCCACGGGCCCUCAAAUCCCAGCUAAGAACUGGAUUAAGAACUCUUUGGUGAUUAGUGUACUGAAGCAUGGGCGUCAGGCUUAAAUAAAAUCCUAUCGUCGAACAGCUGACUUCCCUUCUCUACUCUGGGU
Molecule: long non-coding RNA, 468 nt
Organism: Lutra lutra (Eurasian river otter)
Lineage: Eukaryota; Metazoa; Chordata; Mammalia; Carnivora; Mustelidae
Exons: 3
Source: RefSeq, a predicted model, not a curated record